Molecule: long non-coding RNA, 1952 nt
Filed under: Brassica napus (rape)
Lineage: Eukaryota; Viridiplantae; Streptophyta; Magnoliopsida; Brassicales; Brassicaceae
Description: long non-coding RNA (BNAP_LNC023846)
Source: RNAcentral
UUUAGCAACAGAUUUGUUGUUGCUAUCGUCAAAGUGAUUUAUUUUGUUUUGAAUUCAAAACUAUAUAAAUUAAUUAAAAACAUUAGAUUUAUCUCAUAAAGAAAUCUUACAUUCUCAUAACAUUAUAGAAAUGCUAGAAAGUCAUUUCUUAGCAAACAAAAAAAAUUAAACCUGAUAAAUGAAAGCUAAUGACAUAAAAUUUCAAACUAACACAGACAAAAGAUCGUGAAAAUCAUCUAGUUUAUCUCCUCGUUGCUGCUAGGAGCCUAGGAGAUGCAGAUGGAGAAGUAUCUCUGUGGGGUUGGGGUGAUAGAUUAGGUGGUUACCAAGCUCCUUCUCAACGCGAAGUCGCUCGGGUUCUUCGUUAAACUGGAUCUAGAGACGAUGGCAAGGAGAUGCACAGCUGGAUUCAAAAGGUGGAAGAUUAGGAAGGUUGAUGAGAGAGAGAUCCGUUUUUUUACAAAGAAGACAAACUUUAAAGAAACAAAAGAACUGCUUUGGAACAACGAAGUCCCAAAGAUUUAUGUUUUAGACUGUAGGAAAUAGGAAUGGUGUAGAGAGAAAGAAGAUUCGCAUGGAAGAAGGUGAAGAGAGCAGAGAAGAAACGUGCUGGGACAGAGAAGAGAGAAAAGUGGAAUUGGACAGAGGAAGAAACACAUAUGUGGACUAAAUGUGACCAUUAGAUUAAAAGUUAUCAAUGGCUCACAUUCACAAUCCGCACACUUGUCUCUUAUUGGAUUGAAAAUUAAAAUUGAUUAUAAAUUAUGUUUAGUUUUACUCUAGUGUUAGUGUAUAUGGAAUUAGAUUAUAGGAAUGAACUAUAAAGUUUAACUUUAUGGUAUAUUAUGGGAAUUAAAUUAUAGGAAUAAACUAUGAAGUUUAAUUUUUGAUGUUUUAGGAUAUAAAAUAUUAUAGGAAUUAAAAAAAAAAUAUUAUAGGAAUUGAAUUUUAUUUAGAAUUAAAAGUUUACAUGUUUAUGAUAUAGGGUUUCAGUUAUAUGGUUUAGGGUUUAGGUUUAUGAUUUGGAAUUAAGAGUGGGUUGAGACUAAGUUUUUAAGAAGAUUAAGUUAAAAGUUUUUUGUUUAAGACGUGGAAGUUAAAUUUGAAAAUAUUAAAGUUGGAGUUUAUAUUUAGGAUAUAGAUUGAGAUAUUCAUAGUUUAGGGUUUAAAUUUAAGAUUUAGAAUGAAGUUUAAAGAAAAUUAGAUUUUGAGUUUAAGCUUAAUAUUUGAGUUUAAAGCUUAUGCUUAGUGUAAAUAUUUACUACAUAAGGUUUGAAGUAUGGUUCAAGAUUAAGAUUUUGGCUUAAUGUCUAUAAUGUGGGGUUGAAAUAUAGUGUUGAGGUUUAAAUUGUAAAUUUGAUAUUAAAUUUUGAAAAGAAUAAUUUUCUUGUGUUAUUUUAAUAAUUUAAAGUAAAAGUAAGAAAAAAUUUAGUUUUAAAAUUUUGUAUUUAGAGUUUAGGGUUUAAAUUUAUGGUUAGGGUAUAGAGUUUGAUAGAAGAUUUAAAAUUUGUAUUUGGAAGUUAUAGAUUAGGAUUAAAAAUAUUAAACUUUAAGUUUAAGAUUUGAGAUUGUAGUAUGAAAAUAUUAGAGUUUUAUGAUUUAUGUUUAGGAUUUAUGGUUUUGAGAUUGUGUAUACCCAUUAUUUUUACUAUACUAUUAGUGCUUUUAAUAUAUGUGGAUUAAAUUUUUUUAUCUUAAAACAUUAAAUUGUAUCUACGUUAAAAAUUAAUCGUUAAUCUAACAUUAUUUUAUAUAUAUAUAUACGAAAUAUUAUAAUUUUUACUAUUUUGAUGAUUAUAGUACUGUGUCGAAAUGACAAAGAUAUAGAUAUUGGUGCUAUUUAACAAUAGAAAUGAUUGUAGUUAGUUGUUGCUAAAUAGAAUAAUUGUAGCAACCACUUAUCUCUAGCCAAAGUGUAGCUAUUUAGCUACGGACCGCCAACGGAAUCCUUC